AACGCAGCCGAAAACCUUCAGGCUGCCUAACGGAAUUGCGUCCGGCCGCUGACCACGGAUGAACUGGCAUCGGCCGUCGAGGCAAUCGGGAGAAGGUCGGGAGUUCCCGGCCUUUUUCAUU
RNAcentral lists this small RNA (121 nucleotides) under Aminobacter aganoensis. RNAcentral describes it as "sRNA ar35". It matches the Rfam family "Alphaproteobacterial sRNA ar35". The record is from RNAcentral. Lineage: Bacteria; Pseudomonadati; Pseudomonadota; Alphaproteobacteria; Hyphomicrobiales; Phyllobacteriaceae.